This 752-nucleotide ribosomal RNA is filed under the name uncultured fungus. RNAcentral's name for it is "eukaryotic LSU rRNA". The stretch from base 186 to 340 matches the Rfam family "5.8S ribosomal RNA". The record is from RNAcentral. Lineage: Eukaryota; Fungi.
AGUUGUUGCUGGUCUCCGUAUGGGGGCAUGUGCACGCUCUGUUUACACAUCCACUCACACCUGUGCACGCUCUGUAGUUCUAUGGCCUGGGUGGGCUCUGUCCUCCUGCUGUGGUUCUAUGUCUUUACACACACACUACAACAAAGUCUCAUGGAAUGUAUGUCGCGUUUAACGCAAUGGAAUACAACUUUCAGCAACGGAUCUCUUGGCUCUCGCAUCGAUGAAGAACGCAGCGAAAUGCGAUAAGUAAUGUGAAUUGCAGAAUUCAGUGAAUCAUCGAAUCUUUGAACGCACCUUGCGCCCUUUGGCUAUUCCGAAGGGCAUGCCUGUUUGAGUAUCAUGAACACCUCAACUCUCAUGGCUUGCCAUGAUGUGCUUGGACUUUGGGGGUCUUGUUGGCCUGUGAGCCAGCUCCUCUUAAAUGAAUCAGCUUGCCGGUGUUUGGUGGCGUCACAGGUGUGAUAACUAUCUACGCUUGUGGUUUCCCACCAGGGUAACCUUCAGCAAUGAAGGUUCACCGGAGCUUAUAAAUGUCUCUCCUCAGUGAGGACAGAUUUUGACCAUUUGAUCUCAAAUCAGGUAGGACUACCCGCUGAACUUAAGCAUAUCAAUAAGCGGAGGAAAAGAAACUAACAAGGAUUCCCCUAGUAACUGCGAGUGAAGCGGGAAGAGCUCAAAUUUAAAAUCUGGCGUGCCUCCGGCCGUCCGAGUUGUAGUCUGGAGAAGCGUUUUCCGUGCUGGACCGUGUACAA